AACUGAUACUACCUGCGGGAACCUGCGGAGGGAUCAUUACAGAGUUCAUGCCCUCGCGGGUAGAUCUCCCACCCUUGAAUACUUAUACCUUUGUUGCUUUGGCGGGCCGCUUCGGCUACCGGCUCUAGCUGGUAAGCGCCCGCCAGAGGACCCCCAAACUCUGAAUAUAUUAGUGUUGUCUGAGCACGAUACAAUAGUUAAAACUUUCAGCAAUGGAUCUCUAGAUCGGAAGAGCACACG
This 240-nucleotide unclassified non-coding RNA is filed under the name soil metagenome. RNAcentral describes it as "partial contains 5.8S ribosomal RNA, internal transcribed spacer 2, and large subunit ribosomal RNA". The record is from RNAcentral.